AACGAACGCUGGCGGCAUGCCUAACACAUGCAAGUCGAACGAGAUCUUCGGGUCUAGUGGCGCACGGGUGCGUAACGCGUGGGAAUCUGCCCUUUGGUUCGGAAUAACAGUUGGAAACGACUGCUAAUGCCGGAUGAUGACGAAAGUCCAAAGAUUUAUCGUCAGAGGAUGAGCCCGCGUAGGAUUAGCUAGUUGGUGUGGUAAAGGCGGAGCAAGGCGACGAUCCUUAGCUGGUCUGAGAGGAUGAUCAGCCACACUGGGACUGAGACACGGCCCAGACUCCUACGGGAGGCAGCAGUGGGGAAUAUUGGACAAUGGGCGAAAGCCUGAUCCAGCAAUGCCGCGUGAGUGAUGAAGGCCUUAGGGUUGUAAAGCUCUUUGACCCGGGAUGAUAAUGACAGUACCGGGAGAAUAAGCCCCGGCUAACUCCGUGCCAGCCGCCGCGGUAA
RNAcentral lists this ribosomal RNA (449 nucleotides) under uncultured bacterium. RNAcentral describes it as "partial 16S ribosomal RNA". It matches the Rfam family "Bacterial small subunit ribosomal RNA", at positions 29 to 523 of the family's 1533-position model. The record is from RNAcentral.